GACGAACGCUGGCGGCGUGCUUAACACAUGCAAGUCGAACGGGAAGGCCCUGCUUUUGUGGGUUUCUCGAGUGGCGAACGGGUGAGUAACACGUGAGUAACCUGCCCUUGACUUUGGUAUAACUUCGGGAAACUGGGGCUAAUACCUGAUAUGAGCUCCUUCUGCAUGGUGGGGGUUGGAAAGUUUCGGCGUUUGGGGAUGGAAUCGGGGCUUGUCAGCUUGUUGGUGGGGUAGUGGCUUACCAAGGCUGUGACGGGUAGCCGGCCUGAGUGGGUGACGGGACUCAGUGGGACUGAGAUCACGCACGGAAUCCUGCGGGAGGCAGCAGUGGGGAAUAUUGCACAAUGGGAUGCAGCCUGAUGCAGCAACGCCGCGUGCGGGAUGACGGCCUUCGGUUUGUAACCCGCUUCAGCGCGUGACGAAGCGUGAGUGACGGUAAUGGGUAAAGAAGCACCGGCUAACUACGUG
RNAcentral lists this ribosomal RNA (468 nucleotides) under uncultured bacterium. RNAcentral's name for it is "partial 16S ribosomal RNA". It matches the Rfam family "Bacterial small subunit ribosomal RNA", at positions 28 to 507 of the family's 1533-position model. The record is from RNAcentral.